GAUUCAUUAGAAGUAACGAGUUGACAUUAGGUAAAUCGGCAUUGAGGGAGCUUUUCUUCGAGUGUAUGGCGAAGCUUCAUUACAGCCAUCACUAACAAGGCGUGCAAUCGCUCUGAUUGGGCAGCCUUCUUCCAACGGCGGGGCCUCGAGCAAGAUGCCCCCCUAAUGAGGGUCACUGCCAGAGAUUGAUAAGAUAUUCAGGGCCCCCCCCUUCCCUUCUCCUCCUCGCGCCAGGAAUUUGGGAAUUAAAAGAGAGA
Molecule: non-coding RNA, 257 nt
Organism: Podarcis lilfordi (Lilford's wall lizard)
Lineage: Eukaryota; Metazoa; Chordata; Lepidosauria; Squamata; Lacertidae
Source: the annotation of a GenBank genome assembly